AGCAGCCGCGGUAAUUCCAGCUCCAAUAGCGUAUAUUAAAGUUGUUGCAGUUAAAAAGCUCGUAGUUGAAUUUCGGGAUCAGUACGCUGGUCGUGCCUUGGUAUGUACUGGUGUUACUGGUUCCUACCUUCUGACGAACCGUCAUGUCAUUAAUUUGGUGUGGCGGGAAAUCAGGACUGUUACUUUGAAAAAUUAGAGUGUUUAAAGCAGGCUCGCGCUUGAAUACAUUAGCAUGGAAUAAUGAAAUAGGACGUUCGAUCCUAUUUUGUUGGUUUCUAGGAUUGACGUAAUGAUUAAUAGGGAUAGUUGGGGGCAUUAGUAUUCAAUUGUCAGAGGUGAAAUUCUUGGAUUUAUUGAAGACUAACUACUGCGAAAGCAAUUUGCCAAGGAUGUUUUCAUUAAUCAAGAACGAAAGUUAGGGGAUCGAAGACGAUCAGAUACCGUCGUAGU
RNAcentral lists this ribosomal RNA (450 nucleotides) under uncultured Glomus. Its description in RNAcentral is "SSU rRNA". It matches the Rfam family "Eukaryotic small subunit ribosomal RNA", at positions 569 to 1024 of the family's 1831-position model. The record is from RNAcentral. Lineage: Eukaryota; Fungi; Glomeromycota; Glomeromycetes; Glomerales; Glomeraceae.